RNAcentral lists this ribosomal RNA (371 nucleotides) under uncultured bacterium. RNAcentral describes it as "bacterial SSU rRNA". It matches the Rfam family "Bacterial small subunit ribosomal RNA", at positions 527 to 896 of the family's 1533-position model. The record is from RNAcentral.
GAACCGUCCAAACGUUAUUCGGAUUUAUUGGGCUUAAAGGGUAUGUAGGCGGCGCCAUCAGUCGGGUGUGAAAGCCCUCGGCUCAACCGAGGAACUGCGCCCGAUACUGUGGUGCUUGAGGGAGACAGAGGUAAGCGGAACUGAUGGUGGAGCGGUGAAAUGCGUUGAUAUCAUCAGGAACACCAGUGGCGAAAGCGGCUUACUGGGUCUCUUCUGACGCUGAGAUACGAAAGCUAGGGGAGCGAACGGGAUUAGAUACCCCGGUAGUCCUAGCUGUAAACGAUGAGCACUUGAUCGUGGGGCCCCCCAUAGCCUCUCGGUCGCAGCGAAAGUGGUAAGUGCUCCGCCUGGGGAGUAUGGUCGCAAGGCUG